RNAcentral lists this ribosomal RNA (413 nucleotides) under uncultured Desulfovibrio sp. Its description in RNAcentral is "bacterial SSU rRNA". It matches the Rfam family "Bacterial small subunit ribosomal RNA", at positions 971 to 1382 of the family's 1533-position model. Lineage: Bacteria; Pseudomonadati; Thermodesulfobacteriota; Desulfovibrionia; Desulfovibrionales; Desulfovibrionaceae. The record is from RNAcentral.
UUACCUAGGUUUGACAUCCGGAAGACCUUCCCGAAAAGGAAGGGUGCCCUUCGGGGAAUUCCGAGACAGGUGCUGCAUGGCUGUCGUCAGCUCGUGCCGUGAGGUGUUGGGUUAAGUCCCGCAACGAGCGCAACCCUAUUGCCAGUUGCUACCAGGUAAUGCUGGGCACUCUGGUGAGACUGCCCCGGUUAACGGGGAGGAAGGUGGGGACGACGUCAAGUCAUCAUGGCCCUUACGCCUAGGGCUACACACGUACUACAAUGGCGCAUACAAAGGGCAGCGAUACCGCGAGGUGGAGCCAAUCCCAAAAAGUGCGUCCCAGUCCGGAUUGCAGUCUGCAACUCGACUGCAUGAAGUUGGAAUCGCUAGUAAUUCGAGAUCAGCAUGCUCGGGUGAAUGCGUUCCCGGGCCUU